CGGAGUGUAGCUCAGCCUGGUAGAGCACUGUCUUCGGGAGGCAGGGGCCCACGGUUCAAAUCCGUGCACUCCGACCA
This 77-nucleotide transfer RNA is filed under the name Thermohalobaculum sp. RNAcentral's name for it is "tRNA-Pro". It matches the Rfam family "tRNA". Rfam says of the family: Transfer RNA (tRNA) molecules are approximately 80 nucleotides in length. Their secondary structure includes four short double-helical elements and three loops (D, anti-codon, and T loops). Lineage: Bacteria; Pseudomonadati; Pseudomonadota; Alphaproteobacteria; Rhodobacterales; Paracoccaceae. The record is from RNAcentral.